UCGCGAAUCAUUCACAAUGGACGCAAGUCUGAUGAUGCCACGCCGCGUGCGGGAUGAAGGCCCUUUGGGUUGUAAACCGCUGUCAAGGGAGGGGAAACACCUAGUGUUAACAGCGCUAGGCUUGACUGCUCCCUAAAGGAAGCCCCGGCAAAACAUGUGCCAGCAGCCGCGGUAAUACAUGUGGGGCAAGCGUUGUUCGGAAUUACUGGGCAUAAAGGGUGCGUAGGCGGUUUUGUAAGUCAGAUGUGAAAUCCCCGGGCUUAACCUGGGAACUGCGUUUGAAACUACAAGACUAGAGUGUGUCAGAGGGGGGUAGAAUUCCACGUGUAGCAGUGAAAUGCGUAGAUAUGUGGAGGAAUACCGAUGGCGAAGGCAGCCCCCUGGGAUAACACUGACGCUCAUGCACGAAAGCGUGGGGAGCAAACAGGAUUAGAUACCCAAGUAGUCCCUGAGCGGGCUGGCAAGGCGCAU
This 471-nucleotide ribosomal RNA is filed under the name uncultured bacterium. RNAcentral describes it as "bacterial SSU rRNA". It matches the Rfam family "Bacterial small subunit ribosomal RNA", at positions 355 to 825 of the family's 1533-position model. The record is from RNAcentral.